This 72-nucleotide transfer RNA is filed under the name Pseudomonas sp. Root71. RNAcentral describes it as "tRNA-Met". The stretch from base 3 to 61 matches the Rfam family "tRNA", at positions 8 to 63 of the family's 71-position model. From Rfam's summary of the family: Transfer RNA (tRNA) molecules are approximately 80 nucleotides in length. Their secondary structure includes four short double-helical elements and three loops (D, anti-codon, and T loops). Further hydrogen bonds mediate the characteristic L-shaped molecular structure. tRNAs have two regions of fundamental functional importance: the anti-codon, which is responsible for specific mRNA codon recognition, and the 3' end, to which the tRNAs corresponding amino acid is attached (by aminoacyl-tRNA synthetases). tRNAs cope with the degeneracy of the genetic code in two manners: having more than one tRNA (with a specific anti-codon) for a particular amino acid; and 'wobble' base-pairing, i.e. permitting non-standard base-pairing at the 3rd anti-codon position. Lineage: Bacteria; Pseudomonadati; Pseudomonadota; Gammaproteobacteria; Pseudomonadales; Pseudomonadaceae. The record is from RNAcentral.
AGUGGAGCAGUCUGGUAGCUCGUCGGGCUCAUAACCCGAAGGUCGUCGGUUCAAAUCCGGCUCCCGCAACCA